Molecule: long non-coding RNA, 347 nt
Organism: Manis pentadactyla (Chinese pangolin)
Lineage: Eukaryota; Metazoa; Chordata; Mammalia; Pholidota; Manidae
Exons: 2
Source: RefSeq, a predicted model, not a curated record
UGAGAGUGCACGCAGGCGUACUGGUCACCGCUCUCUUAAUUUUAGUCCGCACUCCGGCGCCGGCCAAAUCCAGCAGCUCGGGGUUCCUUUUCCCUGCGCCUCAAAUGAAGUUUUACGGUUAGCCCCACGGCUUCCUGUCACACCUGGUGCAUUUGGGAGCUGCUGCUGUUAGCAGGUCACAGGGGGACAGACCAGAUCUGCAGCCUUGCUGUCACCUGGAAGCUGGUUCGAAAUUUAGCAUCUUGGUCUGCAACCCAGAACAACUGGAUUGGAAUCUUCAUUUUAACAAGAUCUUCCCCAGGUGACUCAUCUGCACAUUAAAGUUUGAGAAGUGCUGUUCUAGUCUA